UUGAGUUCCAAAACAAGUGGCAGUUGUUUGAUCAUUUUGGCGUGAAAUGUGUACUACUGGAUGGUACCAGCUUCACAGAAAACUUAUUUUUUGUGGCAGGGUUGGCAGAAAAGCAAAAGAAGUCUUGCUCCUCUAGGUCUUAAAGAUGGCUGUGCGGAGAAAGGCCCGGACAGAGCAACGACAGCUGCCUUUUUUCAAUGCCAAAAUCAUUACGUUUUUGGACGUUUCUUCACUUCAAGUAAACAAUUAGACAUGGAAAGCUCUAGUGAAUGGAGUUCAAAGCUUCACCUUAGCACUGGGGAUUGAAAGGAAGAGUUAUUGCGUGGACA
Molecule: long non-coding RNA, 329 nt
Filed under: Dermacentor andersoni
Lineage: Eukaryota; Metazoa; Arthropoda; Arachnida; Ixodida; Ixodidae
Description: uncharacterized LOC126547380
Source: RNAcentral